This 497-nucleotide ribosomal RNA is filed under the name uncultured bacterium. RNAcentral describes it as "partial 16S ribosomal RNA". It matches the Rfam family "Bacterial small subunit ribosomal RNA", at positions 28 to 507 of the family's 1533-position model. The record is from RNAcentral.
GAUGAACGCUGGCGGCGUGCCUAAUACAUGCCAGUCGAGCGAACAGACGAGGAGCUUGCUCCUCUGACGUUAGCGGCGGACGGGUGAGUAACACGUGGAUAACCUACCUAUAAGACUGGGAUAACUUCGGGAAACCGGAGCUAAUACCGGAUAAUAUAUUGAACCGCAUGGUUCAAUAGUGAAAGACGGUUUUGCUGUCACUUAUAGAUGGAUCCGCGCCGCAUUAGCUAGUUGGUAAGGUAACGGCUUACCAAGGCAACGAUGCGUAGCCGACCUGAGAGGGUGAGCGGCGACACGGGAACUGAGACACGGACCAGACUCCUACGGGAGGCAGCAGUAGGGAAUAUUACGCAAUGGGCGAAAGCCUGACGGAGCAACGCCGCGUGAGUGAAGAAGGUCUUCGGAUCGUAAAACUCUGUUAUUAGGGAAGAACAAAUGUGUAAGUAACUAUGCACGUAUUGACGGUACCUAAUCAGAAAGCCACGGCUAACUACGUG